AAGAACUUUCAUAUUAUAUUUACUCUGCACCAAUAACAGUGGUAGCAAAAUUGCUGAACUCAUUGGACGAAAAAUAUGAGAAGCAUCAAAUAUUUUACAAUAUUGAAACGCAACUAAUUUAUGUUUACCGGGAUAGAGAAAGAAUACAUCACAUGAUCAAUAUAGGGAGGACACUUAGUAUAUAAGGUUGAAAUACAUUCAGACAUGCACUUUUGUGAGUUGUGUUCUUGGUAACAUCUCUUCCAUCCUACAGCUGUUUCAGUUGAAGAGAAUAAUGAGAAAAGCUCCAGUGUUAUAGGCAUCGCCUACAACACAUGCGAAAAAUCUAUUGCAUAUCAAUUAACACACAUGAACCAACUUCAGGUAAUACAUGUGAACCUUCUUCGUUUGUCUUAACUACACAUAUCAUUGAUAUAACUUGCUAUUAUAUGGUACAACAAAUAGAGAAUAUACCUUUUAUCCAACUAGAGGCGGGAAGCAUACCUAUGAAGAACAGUGUGGAGGAAGUAGGAAAGAUGCAAAGUAGUAGCACAUUACAUUGGUGGAAGUUUUUUUCGAAUCACAUAGGUGGAACUUGACAGCAGUAGCAACUAGGGAGCCCAUGACUCGCCUCCACCUGUGGACUUUCUACGAAUGUAAAGAGACCGAUCACAUGCUACAAAUGUGAAGAGACCAAUCACAUGCUAAUGCAGAUUAAUAUUUCCUCACACUACUUUCAUGUAUAUACAUGUUAAGAAGUGCAGACAAGACAAUGAAAUAAAAGAUAUAUAAGUGUUAUACGUAGUAGAUGGAUAUAACUUUUGCUAGACGAAACUUCGUAUAAUUGAUACAGAUGAGUUGAAGAGACAAUAAUCAAAGUUGGCAGAAUGUCAACAGAAAAAGUAAUAUAAGUUCAAUUCAUUAAAAUAAUGCAAGGCACACCAAUGAAAAGUUAAAUAACUCUAUAAUUCAUAUCCUAAAUGAUCCUUACAUGAAGAACAACAAAAUAUAUGAGUUCAUCGUCUGUAUUAUAAUUUACCAGAACUAGGUAACUAAACCUUACCUCUGAAUAAAUUUAACAGAUCAACUAAGUAAAUGAAAUUUUAAAGUACGUGUACACUGAGCCCAACAAGAUAAUGAUGAUGAGGAGGAUGGGAGAGUAGUAAGACAGUCAUACCCAUCACUACUCUGCCACAUAAGAUGAGGAACACUAUGAAGAACAUGGCCGUCAAACCCGACACCACAAUCCUUGGCCCAGUGACACGAACAGGAUAGCAGCGCCAUUAGGGAAGUUACCAACUACGGAUCACUCAUAGUCUUCAGUGGCCUCCCCGGCGACCGCCUUGCCUCGCUGCUAGGGAGCGCCAAAUCCGCGGCUGGAACGCGUGCCCCGACCUCGCUCAGAUCUGGCCUCCAAGAUAAUCUCCUUCCCAGCUUUGUUGAUGCACGGGCAGGCCACUCGAUUUGGUGCAGCCACUCCGGCACUCCCCAUCACAUGGACGAGCAGGCCAAUCAAUUUGGUACAGCCUCUCCAUCUAUUUUUUCCUUCUCAAAGAUGGUGGAGCAGAGGAAUGAGGAAGGGAUAUGCUUUGUACACAUGGGAUGGGUAGCAC
RNAcentral lists this long non-coding RNA (1592 nucleotides) under Triticum aestivum (bread wheat). RNAcentral describes it as "long non-coding RNA (TAES_LNC022172)". Lineage: Eukaryota; Viridiplantae; Streptophyta; Magnoliopsida; Poales; Poaceae. The record is from RNAcentral.